This 775-nucleotide unclassified non-coding RNA is filed under the name Hevea brasiliensis (rubber tree). The record is from RNAcentral. Lineage: Eukaryota; Viridiplantae; Streptophyta; Magnoliopsida; Malpighiales; Euphorbiaceae.
CGCGUACUUUUAAAUAAAAACUUGAAAAUUAAGCAACUUUAUAAAGUGAUGAGCGUUUUACAAGUAAAUAUUACCUAAAUUCUAGUCAAUCUUGAUCUUGGCUUGUGUUAGUACCAAAAUUAUUGUUUCCUCUGCCACAAUCCAAGAUCCAGAAGUUGCCUUCAUCAGUGAAAUUAGGAACUUUCCCAUUUAUGAAUGGUCUCGGCUAAUCAUUCUGCCAAAUUCAGACAAAACCCCACCGAUUAAUUUAAGUGGGAUUAUGUCCUUCAAGGCAUAGCAUGUGCAGCAAUAUCUAUAUAAAGAUCAAGAGUUAUGCCAUGGUUGAAUUAAACUUCACCCGCACUAGUGAUGCCUGCUGAAAAGAACUGCUCUACUCUGUCGAUGAAGCUACUAGGGAACCUAGAAUGCAACAUCACAGAAGUUUCAGGAGUCAGUGGACUAUGCUUCAAGGCCAUUUCUUCACCAAUUUUUGUUGCUUUGCAAUCUCUUUGGCUUCUCAUCUUGCUGCCUCUGACAGUAUUUCCUAAAACACUAGCUUUCCCCAAAGACACCCUAGUGCUUUUGGUGUUGUAACGGUUGGAUCUCAAUGGAAUAUCACCAUGCGAUUUUUUCAGUUCAGAAUUCUGCUGAUUACUUUCGCCAGAAUCCUCAAUUGGCAAAUUGUCCAAAGUUUGAUAUUGGCUUGAACCGCCAGUGAAACAUUUUUGCAAGACAUUAACAAGGAGAGUAGCAUAUCCAUACUCAAUUCUUGCAGAACCACAGACUUGUUCUGCUC